This is a non-coding RNA of Pelobates cultripes (western spadefoot toad), 300 nucleotides long. Lineage: Eukaryota; Metazoa; Chordata; Amphibia; Anura; Pelobatidae. The record is from the annotation of a GenBank genome assembly.
AGAUAGCCACCGCUAUAGAACUCUAUACUUUGUAGUUUCCUGGUCAUUUUGUUCUGAUGUUUUGACCCCCUUGCCUAUCUGCCAGGAGAGUGCUUUUUGGAGGGAAGGUUCCAGAGACUGCAAGCAAUCUAUACAUAAAAAUACUAUAUGGUGAAACUCCACUAAUAGUACAGAGUGUGUAGCGUUAAAAUUAAUAUACCACUUACCCCUAGGGGUUAAGCAUCAGAACUGCAGUGCUGAAAAAAUAAAAGACAUAGCACAACACUGCCUGUUGUCAUACAGUAAACAAGUGCUCAAUGG